RNAcentral lists this ribosomal RNA (301 nucleotides) under uncultured bacterium. Its description in RNAcentral is "partial 16S ribosomal RNA". It matches the Rfam family "Bacterial small subunit ribosomal RNA", at positions 509 to 807 of the family's 1533-position model. The record is from RNAcentral.
CAGCCGCCACGGGAAUACGAAGGGGGCUAGCGUUGUUCGGAAUUACUGGGCGUAAAGCGCACGUAGGCGGACAUUUAAGUCAGGGGUGAAAUCCCGGGGCUCAACCCCGGAACUGCCUUUGAUACUGGGUGUCUAGAGUAUGGAAGAGGUGAGUGGAAUUCCGAGUGUAGAGGUGAAAUUCGUAGAUAUUCGGAGGAACACCAGUGGCGAAGGCGGCUCACUGGUCCAUUACUGACGCUGAGGUGCGAAAGCGUGGGGAGCAAACAGGAUUAGAUACCCCUGUAGUCCCUGUCUCUUAUAC